CUCCAUCUCAGUGGCAGAGAAAGAUUGUCGGAGCUGCUACUGCCAACUGCCUGAUCAGCAUUGCUGGGCAGCCUCUGCUGAGCCUGGAUUUGACUCCCAGCUGCACACCCCCCGGACCUUAUAUUAAGGGACCUGCCAGGUCCUGUUCCCCAACCCUCUCACCUUUUUGGAGCUCAGUGUUCUCAUCUGUAAAAUGAGAAGGAACAGUGACAGUACAUGCUCCACAUCUAACGAGGGCAGGAAGGAUGCAUCCUUGCUCAUCCUGCUACUUCAGUGUCCUUCUAACAGGGAGAUUCUCUUGGCUGGGCACCAAGGACCACUCAGCAGACUCUAGGACCUUGGCAAAUUCCUGGAUCACCCAAGUUCCAGUAUUCUAUAAAAUAAGGAAUCACAUCUCUUCACAGGGCAUCUAAGAGGAAGAAAUGAGAUGUGUGUCCUACAUGCAGUAGGUACUCAAUAUUUUAUUUUUUUUUAUUUCUUUUUACUUUUACUUUUUUGUUGUUUUAGGGCCAUACCCAUGGCAUAUGGAAGCUCCCAGGCUGUGGGUCGAAUUGGAGUUACAGUUCCUGGCCUACGCCAUACAUAGUCGCAGCUACAGCAAUGCAGGAUCUGAGCUACAUCUGCGACCUACACCACAGCUCACGGCAAUGCCGGAUCCUUAACCCUAUGAGCAAGGCCAGGGAUCAAACCUGCGUCCUCAUGGAUCCUAGUUGGGUUCAUUACUGCUGAGCCAUGAUGGGAACUCCAGGAGGUACUCAAUUAGGUACUCAUUAAGGACUUAAAAGCUAGGAUGUUAGGCUCUGCCUUUUGCUAGCUGUGUGACCUUGGGCAGGCCAUAAUGUCUCUGAGCCUUAUCGUCUCCUUUGCAAAGUGGGAAUAAUAAUAUCUACCCAUCAGAACUGUGGUGAGGAACAGAUUUUAGACUAUUGGAUUUAAUGGAUCAAAAACCAUCUAGUGAGUAAUACAGCAUUGCCAAUCUUUUGUUUUUUCCAAGUGGGAAUAUUCUGAAAAAUAAACUAUCAUCUACUCUCACCAUAAAAGGAAGGGUAUUUUAAUACCAAAAUAUAAGAAGGGUUUGUUUUUUUGUGUGUGUCUUUUUUUUUUAGGGCUGUACCUAUGGCAUACAGAGGUUCCCAGGCUAGGGGUCUGUCUGAUCAGAGCUACAGCUGCCAGCCUACACCACAGCCACAGUUACGCCAGAUCCAAGCCACAUCGUGACCUACACCACAGCUCAUGGCAACGCCAGAGCCUUAACCCACUGAUCGGGGCCAGGGAUCAAACCCACAACCUCAUGGUUCCUAGUCGGAUUCAUUUCCGCUGCAUCACAACAUGAACUCCUAAGAAGGUUUAAUUUCUUUAAAUGAACAUAUCUUUAAAGAAAAAUAUUUUCCAAUGUCUUUUUUUUUUUUUUGACUGGUGACAACUUUAGUCUUGCACUAGCACUGGUCCUUGUCCAGCCUUUGGAAACCAUUAAAUAUGAAGAUUAAAUGAAAUGACAUGUGUAAGUAGCCGAGCAGAGCCUGGCACACAGAAAACACUAAAUAAAUAUUAACUGCUCCUAUUUAAUAUUAUUUUAUCAUCAUCAUACAUUAAAGUACUUUUUUUUUUUUUUGGUAUUUUUAGGGCUGUACCUGCAGCAUAUGGAGGUCCCCAGGCUAGGGGUUGAAUUGGAGCUGUAACCGCUGGCCUAUACCACAGCCACAGUAACACAGGAUCUGAGCUACCUCUGCAAUCUACAGCUCAUGGCAAUGCAGGAUCCUUAACCCACUGAGCAAGGGCAGGGAUCGAACCCGCAACCUCGUGGUUCCUAGUCGGAUUCGUUAACCACUGCGCCACGACGGGAACUCCUCUUUUUUUUUUUUUUUAAAGCUGGGAACCUCCAUAUGCUGCAGGUGCAGCCAUAGAAAGCAAAACAACACAAAAAGAAUAUUAGUGGCAACGAUUCAAUGAGUGUUUCGUAUGUUUCAGGUGCUCUCUGAAGUCUUUUACACAUACGAUCUCAUUUGUGCUUCAUAAAAGCCCCAUUUUUACAGAUAAGGCAUCAGAGAGUUUAUGGAACUUGCUCCAGGUCACCUGUUAGUAAACGAUGAGGCUGAGAUUCCAACUCAGACUCCGUCAUCAUGACCUUCUGCCUCCGUCCACCAAACGGAAGAUAUUGGAUAAAUUCCAAUUUAAGUGACAUAUUCCACAAAUAGAGAAAAGAAAUAAAAGAUGAUUGAGGGGAAGAGCAGCAGGCUGAAUUGAACUUGACUUUGAGCGCAAAGACAAGCAUUGGAAGAUGGGCACUUCACCCCAUAAUCAGGUCCAGGUUAUGCGAUAGUGUCAUGAUCUAGAAAUGUGUCAGUAGCAUUUGCAGCGCGGUUGAAGAAUUUCAUGUGUCAGGGGCUUCACACACCACCUUUAUGGAGAAGCUGGACUCCCCCAACUGGAUUUUUGGAAGUACAACCUCCCUUUGAUACUAUGGUUGGAAGGGGUUGGGAUGAGACUGAGAGAGGCAGGCUGGACUGGCUCUGAGCCUUGUUGAAGCUUUUGAAAAGCUUGGUAUUGCCAAGACAACAAGGGAACGUGCUGGGAGGGCACCACGUUCCAGCUGCAGGAGAAGUGAGGUGGGCAGCGGUGGCCUCCUUGUCACUAAUCACCUGUGUAGGACCCCAGGCGAGUGAAUCAGUCUCCCUGAGAAGCAGCCACUGCUUCAUUGCGCUGCACCAGCUCCAUGGCAGGGGCCAAAAGCCAGCUCUGGCGAUGGGCCCAGGCAGGAUUUAAUGAAACAAGAGGUCACAUUUUCCCAGAGCCUCUGCCAACACGUGGCCAGCGCCCAGCUAAAAUUGGCACUCGUGGUCACCCAAACCACCCUCCAGCCAGAAGCAGAAUGAGUGGCUUCUUGGAGGUGGUUCAGGCGCAGCCAUGCCCUGGAUCCUUGCCAAGCUGCCACUCCACAGCAGGGACCCAGGGAGGACCCAGCCAAGGUCCCUGUGUCUUGGAGGGGGCUGCCAAUGCCAGUUGCUCUUUUGAAGACAGGAGACCUCUGGGCGGAUUGCUGUCAAGCCUCCAGGAUUCACGGGAUGCCAAACCGUGCAUGCAUUCCGUCAUCUCAUUAUUUAUCUUGUUUCUUAUUAACCCAAACAAACACUUCAGCCUUGACAUCAGUGCUACUCAGCACAAAAAAUCAUACCCUCUUUGGGGUUUAAAUUGAUAGCAUUUUCUGUGUUCCAAGCACUGAUCUUAGCACUUUAUGUGGAUUAUCUACUUCUCAUAGCCACCCUUCACAGAAAGUGACAGGAAAGCUCAGAGAGGUGGAGUAACUCUCCAAGGGGCACACAGCCAGUGUGCUCAGAACCCAGGUUACCCCCGAAGUCUGAGCACCUCUCUCCCAUGAGGGUUUUGCAGAUAAUUAACAUUUAGGUAUUUGCGUCUCUAUUUUCUUCCCAAAUGGAUUACAAGCUCCUUGAGGGAUUGGACUGUAUCUUACUAAGGUGCUUCUAUAAUGUCUCCGUCAUCUCGGAUUGCUGUAACAAACACCACGGGAUGAGUGGUGGAAACAACAGGCAUUGGCGUUGCCAUUGUGGUUCAGUGGCUUAAGAACCCGACAUAGUCUCCAUGAGGCUGGGGCUUCGAUCCCUGGCCUUGCUCAGUGAGUUAAGGAUCCGGCGUUGCCAUGAGGUGUGGCGUAGGGCACAGCUGCAGCUCGGAUCCAGUGUUGCUGUGGCCUGCAUAGCAUCGGAGCUACAGCUGCAGAGACCGCCAGCUCUAGCUCUCAUUUGACCCCUAGCCUGGGAACUUCCAUAUGCUACAGAUGGGGCCCAAACAGGCAUUUAUUUCUCAGGCUGGAAGUUGGAGACCAGGGUGCCAGCCUGGCUGAGUCCUUGUUGGUCCUCUUCCGUGGGUUGUAUUCUCCCCUGGCCUUCCUUGGUGGGUGCCUGCAGGCUGUUCCCCCUUCUUCUAAGGGCACGGAUCCCGUCCACGGAGAGUGAGACGUAGUCACGACCUCGCUCUCUCUCAAGGGCUCUACCUCCUAAUACUAUCACGUUAGGGGUUCGGAUUUCCACAUACAAAUCAGGAAGGGGACCCAGGCAGUCAGUGCAUAACACAUGGUGUUCGUCAGUGCACUUGGGAAACAUUUAUUGAGGACCUACUCUGUGCUAAGAACUGUGCUAAGCAUUUGCCAAAACAAAGACCAAAAAAAUCAUCAGCUCUGUUCUUUGGAAGCUAAUGGUCUUCUGAAGGUAAUACCCAGGGAAGUGAGUGAGCUGUUACAAAAUACCUAGCACAGCAGAUCUGAGCAGUUAUUUAUAGACCAUUGACAUAUUUCCGUUUAGAUGCCAUGACCAAGAAUAUUAUUCUCAGAUCAAAUAGAUCAAGUAUUUAUAUUGGUCCAAUGGUGGGUGUCGCAUAAUUAGAAAUAUAUUUCCAGUUCCUGACGCAGAAUUCCUAAAUCCUUUGGAAUUUCCUGAGUGAUAGGAAAUAAAAAAAAAUUUUUUUUUUUUGGCUUCACCUGCAGCAUAUGGAAGUUCCCGGGCCAGGGAUCAAAUCUGAGCUGGAGCUGCAGCCUAUGCCACAGCAGCAGCAAUACUGGAUUCUUAACCCCCUGUAAACCAGCAAAGCCACAGACAAGCCGGCUCAUUAACCCACUGGGCUACAGCAGGGACUGCAUUGCUGAUGGGUCCCCAGAUAGCUUCAGGAUGGGGCAUGUUGCCAGAAAGACCACAUCUUGAUUAGAAGCCUGGCACUUUUCCUCAUUCUCAACCUCCAGGAGGGGAGAGGGGCUAGCAAUUGACUUAAUAACCCAUCAUGUCUACACAAUGAGACCU
This 4808-nucleotide long non-coding RNA is filed under the name Sus scrofa (pig). RNAcentral's name for it is "lncRNA (ENSSSCG00040062764.1)". Lineage: Eukaryota; Metazoa; Chordata; Mammalia; Artiodactyla; Suidae. The record is from RNAcentral.